Arachis stenosperma is the source of this 129-nucleotide small nuclear RNA. RefSeq annotates it as U11 spliceosomal RNA. The record is from RefSeq and is a predicted model, not a curated record. The transcript has a single exon. NCBI's taxonomy places the organism in Eukaryota, Viridiplantae, Streptophyta, Magnoliopsida, Fabales, Fabaceae.
UAAAAGGGUCGGUUGGCUAUGUAUGCCACACUCAUCCGAAGUUGGUGAGUGCUGUAUGGCUAUCAAGACAUAUGGCCGACAUAAUUUCUGGAAACCCAUUAGGGUUGGCUCGCAUUGGCCGACCCUCCU